This is a small nuclear RNA of 110 nucleotides. Its record names the gene U2. It matches the Rfam family "U2 spliceosomal RNA". From Rfam's summary of the family: U2 is a small nuclear RNA (snRNA) component of the spliceosome (involved in pre-mRNA splicing). Complementary binding between U2 snRNA (in an area lying towards the 5' end but 3' to hairpin I) and the branchpoint sequence (BPS) of the intron results the bulging out of an unpaired adenosine, on the BPS, which initiates a nucleophilic attack at the intronic 5' splice site, thus starting the first of two transesterification reactions that mediate splicing. The record is from Ensembl.
AUCGCUUCUUGGCCUUUGGCUAGGAUAAAAUGUAAUAUCUGUUCUUAUCAGAUUAAAGCAUACUUCACUGAUGCUAAAACUUGCAUAUUCAUUUUCUUUGAAGACGUCAU